AUUGAACGCUGGCGGCAUGCCUUACACAUGCAAGUCGAACGGUAACGGGUCCUUCGGGAUGCCGACGAGUGGCGAACGGGUGAGUAAUAUAUCGGAACGUGCCCAGUAGUGGGGGAUAACUGCUCGAAAGAGCAGCUAAUACCGCAUACGACCCGGGGGGGAAGGGGGGGGAUCGCAAGACCUCUCGCUAUGGGAGCGGCCGAUAUCAGAUUAGCUAGUUGGUGGGGUAAAGGCCUACCAAGGCAACGAUCUGUAGUGGGUCUGAGAGGACGACCAGCCACACUGUGACUGAGACACGGCCCAGACUCCGACGGGAGGCAGCAGUGGGGAAUUUUGGACAAUGGGCGCAAGCCUGAUCCAGCAAUGCCGCGUGCAGGAAGAAGGCCUUCGGGUUGUAAACUGCUUUUGUCAGGGAAGAAAUCUUCUGGGCUAAUACCCCGGGAGGAUGACGGUACCUGAAGAAUAAGCACCGGCUAACUACGUGCCAGCCGCCGCAGUAA
Molecule: ribosomal RNA, 500 nt
Filed under: uncultured bacterium
Lineage: Bacteria
Description: partial 16S ribosomal RNA
Rfam family: Bacterial small subunit ribosomal RNA
Source: RNAcentral